GCGACCUACCCAUGAGCAGGAUGAAGCGAAAGUAAAAUUUCGUGGAGGUCCGAACCCACGAGCGUUGAAAAGCUCGGGGAUGACUUGUGGGUAGCGGUGAAAUUCCAAUCGAGCCCGGAGAUAGCUGGUUCUCCCCGAAAUAGCUUUAGGGCUAGCCUCAAGGUGAGAGAUACGGAGGUAGAGCACUGAAUGUCCUAGGGGGUAUUGCACCUACCGAAGACUAUCAAACUCCGAAUGCCGUCAUCUUAUACUUGGGAGUCAGACUGUGGGUGAUAAGAUUCAUAGUCGAAAGGGCAACAGCCCAGAUCGUCAGCUAAGGUCCCUAAAUGUAAGUUAAGUGGUAAAGGAUGUGGGAUUGCACAGACAACCAGGAUGUUGGCUUAGAAGCAGCCACUCAUUCAAAGAGUGCGUAAUAGCUCACUGGUCGAGUGAUCCUGCGCCGAAGAUUUCCGGGGCUAAAACUUACUACCGAAGCUACGGCAUCAGUAAUGAUGGGUAGGGGAGCUUCCCAUACGGGUUGAAGCAUGACCGUAAGGACAUGUGGACAGUAUGGGAGUGAGAAUGUUGGCAUGAGUAGCGAGAUGUGGGUGAGAAUCCCACAGGCCGUAAACCCAAGGUUUCCAGGGGAAGGUUCGUCCGCCCUGGGUUAGUCGGGACCUAAGCUGAGGCCGAAAGGCGUAGGUGAUGGACAACAGGUUGAUAUUCCUGUAC
RNAcentral lists this ribosomal RNA (711 nucleotides) under Clostridioides difficile. RNAcentral's name for it is "partial 23S ribosomal RNA". It matches the Rfam family "Bacterial large subunit ribosomal RNA", at positions 725 to 1444 of the family's 2925-position model. Lineage: Bacteria; Bacillati; Bacillota; Clostridia; Peptostreptococcales; Peptostreptococcaceae. The record is from RNAcentral.